AUUGAACGCUGGCGGCAGGCCUAACACAUGCAAGUCGAGCGGAUGAAGGGAGCUUACUCCUGGAUUCAGCGGCGGACGGGUGAGUAAUGCCUAGGAAUCUGCCUGGUAGUGGGGGAUAACGUCCGGAAACGGGCGCUAAUACCGCAUACGUCCUGAGGGAGAAAGUGGGGGAUCUUCGGACCUCACGCUAUCAGAUGAGCCUAGGUCGGAUUAGCUAGUUGGUGGGGUAAAGGCCUACCAAGGCGACGAUCCGUAACUGGUCUGAGAGGAUGAUCAGUCACACUGGAAGUGAGCCACGGUCCAGACUCCUACGGGAGGCAGCAGUGGGGAAUAUUGGACAAUGGGCGAAAGCCUGAUCCAGCCAUGCCGCGUGUGUGAAGAAGGUCUUCGGAUUGUAAAGCACUUUAAGUUGGGAGGAAGGGCAGUAAGUUAAUACCUUGCUGUUUUGACGUUACCAACAGAAUAAGCACCGGCUAACUUCGUG
This 484-nucleotide ribosomal RNA is filed under the name uncultured bacterium. RNAcentral describes it as "partial 16S ribosomal RNA". It matches the Rfam family "Bacterial small subunit ribosomal RNA", at positions 30 to 507 of the family's 1533-position model. The record is from RNAcentral.